ACCAAAACUUGAUAUUUAAAAACUUUAGAAAAGAGACAAACAGACAAACAAAUAAAACAUGCAUACAAGCAGCAUAUUAAGUAUCGUAUCUAUCUGAUCCUUCAAUCAAUGGUGAUACAUGAGCUAUGCAUCUAUCCCUUAAGUUUGUGCACAUCAACACUUUAUCACUGUGAUAUUUUAACUAAAUUUUUGUUUAACAACUUAAAUUUUCCCAAUCCUGAAAAGGCUGUAAAGUUCAUGGUGUCAGCUGAAUCAUUUUUCAACUCAUAUUAUUUAUGAACAGAAAAGUAAAAUUUUUUCAUGCAGAUUGCCGCUGCUGCAAUAACAAUGCAUUAGCGUGAGAUAAGAGAGUAUUCAUCCCCAACUCAAAGAAAAGAGGGGUAAAAGAAGCUUAUGAUAAAAGACCAUAAAGAACACCAUUGCCAGCUAUAAUACCAUCCAUCCGUAAAUAAAUUAGUUGGCAUGAGCCCCAAAAUGCCAUAAAUGGCUUUCCCAAAAUUUAUUAAGCAAAUGCAGAUAUCAAGUUAUACCACUAAAUACUAAUAAUUCCCUGAAAAGAAGGCAAAACUUGUACUCUACAAUUUUAAUAUAGAAAAACCCCAAGGAUAUCUUCCUACAGCUCUUCCAUAAACCAACUCAUCAUUUUGGGCCCUCAUGAGCCUCCUAAUAAAGCUUUGGAUUUGAAAGUAAAUGCUG
Molecule: unclassified non-coding RNA, 696 nt
Filed under: Hevea brasiliensis (rubber tree)
Lineage: Eukaryota; Viridiplantae; Streptophyta; Magnoliopsida; Malpighiales; Euphorbiaceae
Source: RNAcentral